This 86-nucleotide transfer RNA is filed under the name Planctomycetota bacterium. RNAcentral describes it as "tRNA-Leu". It matches the Rfam family "tRNA". Rfam says of the family: Transfer RNA (tRNA) molecules are approximately 80 nucleotides in length. Their secondary structure includes four short double-helical elements and three loops (D, anti-codon, and T loops). Further hydrogen bonds mediate the characteristic L-shaped molecular structure. tRNAs have two regions of fundamental functional importance: the anti-codon, which is responsible for specific mRNA codon recognition, and the 3' end, to which the tRNAs corresponding amino acid is attached (by aminoacyl-tRNA synthetases). tRNAs cope with the degeneracy of the genetic code in two manners: having more than one tRNA (with a specific anti-codon) for a particular amino acid; and 'wobble' base-pairing, i.e. permitting non-standard base-pairing at the 3rd anti-codon position. The record is from RNAcentral. Lineage: Bacteria; Pseudomonadati; Planctomycetota.
GCCGGGAUGGCGGAAUGGCAGACGCGCGGGUUUCAAAAACCCGUUACUUCACGGUAAUGUGGGUUCAAGUCCCACUCCCGGCACCA